UGGAUAUUUCUGGGGGAAUAAGUACAUGAGUGCUCGCAGCUGUGUACAAAACAUAGUACAGCCAAAGUCUGUUGUGAGUGCAUAUUACACACCCAAAAUUCUGUUCCAGACAGUGUUGGGGCUGCAUUUUAAGAGAUCCUUUUAGUUCCUAGGUCUCUUAAUGCUAAUAAAAAUUCCUGCUGUUGCAGGAUUAGUCAAUGGCAAAACCCAUCUGGAAGAUGAUUUCUUUCUCCCACUGAAACUGUGGGUGGAGGUCUGGGUUUGCAUCCUUACUCUCUUAACUAUUCUUUACUCUUGGCCAGAGCAGAAUUUGUUGGGAUUGUGAUCCUGAGCCUGUUUAAAUAACCAUUUAAUAAGUGUUCUGGUUUUCUCAUUAUAGGAACAAAUUUCAGAUCUGAGAUUUGGGUGCCUCCAUAGCUCUUUCCUAGGCUCUACAUUAUUAUAUUAGCUUGUGGCUCUAGUCCUGAAAAGAGUGUAAUUUCAUCCUCGCAUUUCAAAAGCUACAUCAAACUGAUCUGCUGGGAGCCAUCACAGACAAAUCCACAAUAAAAGAAACACCGCGUGGAUCAGCAGCAGACAUCAGAAACCUUCCCAGAGGAGAGGUUGCUGUUCUCCACCACCACGCUCCCAGGCAGCAGCCACAUACCAGAGAGGAAAAUCACACGCCAGUGGUGCUUGGUGGUCAAAGUAAGUUUUUUAUCACUUUUUAAUUCAUUUAGCCCUUGAAUCCCUUCAUUCAGGCUUGCCCAUGGGCCUGCACCUCCAGUCUUUUCUCACAUACACUGGCUUGUGGAAAGAGGUAACAAUUUUGCCUUUA
Poecile atricapillus (Black-capped chickadee) is the source of this 817-nucleotide long non-coding RNA. RefSeq lists it as uncharacterized. NCBI's taxonomy places the organism in Eukaryota, Metazoa, Chordata, Aves, Passeriformes, Paridae. The record is from RefSeq and is a predicted model, not a curated record. The transcript has 3 exons.